Long non-coding RNA from Selaginella moellendorffii, 273 nucleotides. RefSeq lists it as uncharacterized. The record is from RefSeq and is a predicted model, not a curated record. The transcript has 3 exons. NCBI's taxonomy places the organism in Eukaryota, Viridiplantae, Streptophyta, Lycopodiopsida, Selaginellales, Selaginellaceae.
CACCACUUCUCUCCGGCGCAAUGCACAUCAAUCUUUCGCGAAAAAGAAUGGAAGGAGUGACGAAUCGAGAUAUCGAGACCCUGGAGGAAGAGAACUCGACCCGAUCUAGCGAUAAAGAAGAAUGCGGCAUCGGAAAUCCCCGGCGCAGCCCUGAAGUCGCCGCCUUUCAGACAAGGCUGGUUCUUUCGGAAAGAAUGCACCUUGCGGCGCAUCAAUCUUUCGUCGCUGGAAUGGGAGAAAGCAUGAGCCAUCUCACAGCGCUGGAAGAAGAGG